GAGGGUAUAGCUCAUGGUAGAGUGCAUGCUUAGCAUGCAUGAGGUCCUGGGUUCAAUCCCCAGUACCUGCU
Camelus ferus (Wild Bactrian camel) is the source of this 71-nucleotide transfer RNA. It matches the Rfam family "tRNA". From Rfam's summary of the family: Transfer RNA (tRNA) molecules are approximately 80 nucleotides in length. The record is from Rfam. Lineage: Eukaryota; Metazoa; Chordata; Mammalia; Artiodactyla; Camelidae.